ACGAACGCUGGCGGCGUGCUUAACACAUGCAAGUCGAACGCGAAAGGGACUUCGGUCCUGAGUAAAGUGGCGCACGGGUGAGUAACGCGUAGAUAACCUGUCUUCAUGUCUGGAAUGAUACGCCGAAAGGGGUACUAAUACCGGAUAUUCUUGCUUUUCAUAAGUUAUGCAAGCAAAGGUGGCCUCUGCAUAUGCUACUGCAUGAAGAGGGGUCUGCGUACCAUUAGCUAGUAGGUGGGGUAAUGGCCUACCUAGGCGACGAUGGUUAGCGGGUCUGAGAGGAUGAUCCGCCACACUGGCACUGGAACACGGGCCAGACUCCUACGGGAGGCAGCAGUGAGGAAUAUUGCGCAAUGGGGGAAACCCUGACGCAGCGACGCCGCGUGAAGUGAGGAAGGCCUUCGGGUCGUAAAGCUCUGUCAAGAGGAAAGAAGUGUACAAUGGCUAAUACCUGUUGUAUUUGACGGUACCUCUAAAGGAAGCACCGGCUAACUCCGUGCCAGCCGCUGC
Molecule: ribosomal RNA, 510 nt
Filed under: uncultured bacterium
Lineage: Bacteria
Description: bacterial SSU rRNA
Rfam family: Bacterial small subunit ribosomal RNA
Source: RNAcentral